UACGUAGGGGGCAAGCGUUGUCCGGAUUUAUUGGGCGUAAAGAGCGUGUAGGCGGCUAGAUAGGUCCGUUGUGAAAACUCGAGGCUCAACCUCGAGACGCCGAUGGAAACCAUCCAGCUAGAGUCCGGAAGAGGAGAGUGGAAUUUGUGGUGUAGCGGUGAAAUGCGCAGAUAUCACAAAGAACACCCGUGGCUAAGGCGGCUCUCUAGUACGGUACUGACGCUGAGACGCGAAAGCGUGGGGAG
Molecule: ribosomal RNA, 245 nt
Filed under: uncultured Actinoplanes sp.
Lineage: Bacteria; Bacillati; Actinomycetota; Actinomycetes; Micromonosporales; Micromonosporaceae
Description: partial 16S ribosomal RNA
Rfam family: Bacterial small subunit ribosomal RNA
Source: RNAcentral